This 136-nucleotide unclassified non-coding RNA is filed under the name soil metagenome. RNAcentral describes it as "partial internal transcribed spacer 1". The record is from RNAcentral.
GCAGAGUAUCAACUCUCCAAACCAUUUGUGAACGUACUGAACCAGUUGCUUCGGCGGACGGCUCUCGGGAGCUGACCGCCGGAAGGAACGCAAACUCUUGUUAUUUUGGCAUCUCUGAGUAGCUAUAAAUAAGUUA